Molecule: long non-coding RNA, 400 nt
Filed under: Capsella rubella
Lineage: Eukaryota; Viridiplantae; Streptophyta; Magnoliopsida; Brassicales; Brassicaceae
Description: long non-coding RNA (CRUB_LNC003968)
Source: RNAcentral
UGUGACACCCCUGAAACUAUAGUUGUGUGUGUGCUUACCAUAAAAUAGUGUUUUACACCAUAUUAUUGAACAAUGCCUUCUCUUACCUGUGUAGAAUGAUUGAUUCGAUGAGUUUUUCUGUGUUUGCUUAUAACUGAUUCCAAGAGAAACUUAUGUGAGAUAUGUGAGGUCUGUCUUAAUGCAAACCCAGUUUGCUUUAUGCAAGCUUUUGUAAUAUCAUUGAGGAAUAUGCAAAGCUGUAUUGUUCUCACUGUGAUAUUUUUUCUGAUUAUUCAUUUGGCUUACACUUAGUAUUAAUCACCUCGUUGCUUUGUUACUUUCUCGGUUCUCUUUGCAAGUAUAUUGUUUUCCCUUCUUUGUCUUCUUGUUGUAAACGUAUGCUCUUGUUUGUUGAGAUUCU